RNAcentral lists this ribosomal RNA (252 nucleotides) under uncultured bacterium. RNAcentral describes it as "partial 16S ribosomal RNA". It matches the Rfam family "Bacterial small subunit ribosomal RNA", at positions 524 to 776 of the family's 1533-position model. The record is from RNAcentral.
UACGGAGGAUGCGAGCGUUAUCCGGAUUUAUUGGGUUUAAAGGGUGCGUAGGCGGCCUGCCAAGUCAGCGGUAAAAUUGCGGGGCUCAACCCCGUACAGCCGUUGAAACUGCCGGGCUCGAGUGGGCGAGAAGUAUGCGGAAUGCGUGGUGUAGCGGUGAAAUGCAUAGAUACCACGCAGAACCCCGAUUGCGAAGGCAGCAUACCGGCGCCCUACUGACGCUGAGGCACGAAAGUGCGGGGAUCAAACAGG